RNAcentral lists this ribosomal RNA (497 nucleotides) under uncultured bacterium. Its description in RNAcentral is "partial 16S ribosomal RNA". It matches the Rfam family "Bacterial small subunit ribosomal RNA", at positions 28 to 507 of the family's 1533-position model. The record is from RNAcentral.
GAUGAACGCUGGCGGCGUGCCUAAUACAUGCAAGUCGAGCGAACAGACGAGGAGCUUGCUCCUCUGACGUUAGCGGCGGACGGGUGAGUAACACGUGGAUAACCUACCUAUAAGACUGGGAUAACUUCGGGAAACCGGAGCUAAUACCGGAUAAUAUAUUGAACCGCAUGGUUCAAUAGUGAAAGACGGUUUUGCUGUCACUUAUAGAUGGAUCCGCGCCGCAUUAGCUAGUUGGUAAGGUAACGGCUUACCAAGGCGACGAUGCGUAGCCGACCUGAGAGGAUGAUCAGCCACACUGGAACUGAGACACGGUCCAGACUCCUACGGGAGGCAGCAGUAGGGAAUCUUCCGCAAUGGGCGAAAGCCUGACGCAGCAACGCCGCGUGAGUGAUGAAGGUCUUCGGAUCGUAAAGCUCUGUUGUUAGGAAAGAACAAAUGUGUAAGUAACUAUGCACGUCUUGACGGUACCUAAUCAGAAAGCCACGGCUAACUACGUG